RNAcentral lists this ribosomal RNA (496 nucleotides) under uncultured bacterium. Its description in RNAcentral is "partial 16S ribosomal RNA". It matches the Rfam family "Bacterial small subunit ribosomal RNA", at positions 28 to 507 of the family's 1533-position model. The record is from RNAcentral.
GAUGAACGCUGGCGGCGUGCCUAAUACACGCAAGUCGAGCGAACAGACGAGGAGCUUCUCCUCUGACGUUAGCGGCGGACGGGUGAGUAACACGUGGAUAACCUACCUAUAAGACUGGGAUAACUUCGGGAAACCGGAGCUAAUACCGGAUAAUAUAUUGAACCGCAUGGUUCAAUAGUGAAAGACGGUUUUGCUGUCACUUAUAGAUGGAUCCGCGCCGCAUUAGCUAGUUGGUAAGGUAACGGCUUACCAAGGCAACGAUGCGUAGCCGACCUGAGAGGGUGAUCGGCCACACUGGAACUGAGACACGGUCCAGACUCCUACGGGAGGCAGCAGUAGGGAAUCUUCCGCAAUGGGCGAAAGCCUGACGGAGCAACGCCGCGUGAGUGAUGAAGGUCUUCGGAUCGUAAAACUCUGUUAUUAGGGAAGAACAAAUGUGUAAGUAACUAUGCACGUCUUGACGGUACCUAAUCAGAAAGCCACGGCUAACUACGUG